GUUAUUUUUUGGAUUUAAAAUUCUUUUUUUUCUUCAUGUCAAUUCAUCUCAAGGUCAAGAUGAUCAGUUGGAGGAUUGUCCUAUGUCGGAACACUCUCCACUGUGGAUUUUAAAAGUGCGCCUUACUAUUAGUUGCAACCUUAUAUAGACUUUUUCCAAAAUAAAAUAUGUCUAGCUGCUGCGAGUUAACGCGGCUUGAUGGUGGAAAGGCAUAGGUUCUUGAUCUAUCACUGUUCUUUCGAUUCUUGUGUGGUGCAUGUCGGCACCUCAAAUUUAUAAUAUAGUUAGUUAAUUUCUCCCGAUAAUAAGUCUGAUAAAAAAAAGAGUCUAUUUGGGUUUCUUCUGGUUGCUCAACUUCGUACAGAGGGUUGGAAAGCCCGGUCAAUGACAGAUUCCUGUUGCCGUUUCAAAUCAAGCACGAUAGGAAAUAGGUUUUUCUUGUGAUUCAUGAAAUUCAUCACAAUAAAUCUAUAUAUGAUCAAGGAUACUUCGAUUUAUGUUUUUAGAGAUACUGUGAAAAUUCUUGAGAUGAUCAUUGAUUUAUCUGUACAUAAAUAAGACUACACGCAACUGUUUCUUUGUAUCAGCGUGAAACCAGGAAUAUAAUUUACUGUUAUUAAUCAUAAAAUUUAAGCAUUUUAUUUGUUGAAAUUUCU
This 656-nucleotide long non-coding RNA is filed under the name Amborella trichopoda. RNAcentral's name for it is "long non-coding RNA (ATRI_LNC004804)". Lineage: Eukaryota; Viridiplantae; Streptophyta; Magnoliopsida; Amborellales; Amborellaceae. The record is from RNAcentral.